This 460-nucleotide ribosomal RNA is filed under the name uncultured bacterium. Its description in RNAcentral is "partial 16S ribosomal RNA". It matches the Rfam family "Bacterial small subunit ribosomal RNA", at positions 338 to 795 of the family's 1533-position model. The record is from RNAcentral.
CCUACGGGUGGCAGCAGUGAGGAAUAUUGGUCAAUGGGCGGAAGCCUGAACCAGCCAAGUAGCGUGCAGGAUGACGGCCCUACGGGUUGUAAACUGCUUUUAUACGGGAAUAACGCGCCUUACGUGUAGGGCUUUGCAUGUACCGUAUGAAUAAGGACCGGCUAAUUCCGUGCCAGCAGCCGCGGUAAUACGGAGGAUCCGAGCGUUAUCCGGAUUUAUUGGGUUUAAAGGGAGCGUAGGUGGAUUGUUAAGUCAGUUGUGAAAGUUUGCGGCUCAACCGUAAAAUUGCAGUUGAAACUGGCAGUCUUGAGUACAGUAGAGGUGGGCGGAAUUCGUGGUGUAGCGGUGAAAUGCUUAGAUAUCACGAAGAACUCCGAUUGCGAAGGCAGCUCACUGGACUGCAACUGACACUGAGGCUCGAAAGUGUGGGUAUCAAACAGGAUUAGAUACCCCAGUAGUC